This 491-nucleotide ribosomal RNA is filed under the name uncultured bacterium. RNAcentral describes it as "partial 16S ribosomal RNA". It matches the Rfam family "Bacterial small subunit ribosomal RNA", at positions 29 to 506 of the family's 1533-position model. The record is from RNAcentral.
AGUGAACGCUGGCGGUAGGCCUAACACAUGCAAGUCGAACGGCAGCACAGUAAGAGCUUGCUCUUACGGGUGGCGAGUGGCGGACGGGUGAGGAAUACAUCGGAAUCUACUUUUUCGUGGGGGAUAACGUAGGGAAACUUACGCUAAUACCGCAUACGACCUACGGGUGAAAGCAGGGGAUCUUCGGACCUUGCGCGAUUGGACGAGCCGAUGUCGGAGUAGCUAGUUGGCGGGGUAAAGGCCCACCAAGGCGACGAUCCGUAGCUGGUCUGAGAGGAUGAUCAGCCACAGUGGAACUGAGACACGGUCCAGACUCCUACGGGAGGCAGCAGUGGGGAAUAUUGGACAAUGGGCGCAAGACUGAUCCAGCCACACCGCGUGGGUGAAGAAGGCCUGCGGGUUGUAAAGCCGUUUUGUUGGGAAAGAAAAGCAGCAGGUUAAUACCCCGCUGUUCUGACGGUACCCAAAGAGUAAGCACCGGCUACCUUCGU